CAGCAGCCACGGGAAUACGAAGGGGGCUAGCGUUGUUCGGAUUUACUGGGCGUAAAGGGCGCGUAGGCGGACUGAUAAGUCAGGGGUGAAAUCCCAAGGCUCAACCUUGGAACUGCCUUUGAUACUGUUUGUCUUGAGAUCGAGAGAGGUAAGUGGAACUGCGAGUGUAGAGGUGAAAUUCGUAGAUAUUCGCAAGAGCACCAGUGGCGAAGGCGGCUUACUGGCUCGAAACUGACGCUGAGGCGCGAAAGCGUGGGGAGCAAACAGGAUUAGAUACCCGAGUAGUCCCUGUCUCUUAUAC
This 301-nucleotide ribosomal RNA is filed under the name uncultured bacterium. RNAcentral's name for it is "partial 16S ribosomal RNA". It matches the Rfam family "Bacterial small subunit ribosomal RNA", at positions 509 to 807 of the family's 1533-position model. The record is from RNAcentral.